GCUUCUUGGCCUUUUGGUUAAGAUUAAGUGUA
RNAcentral lists this small nuclear RNA (32 nucleotides) under Felis catus (domestic cat). Lineage: Eukaryota; Metazoa; Chordata; Mammalia; Carnivora; Felidae. The record is from RNAcentral.